GAUGAACGCUGGCGGCGUGCCUAACACAUGCAAGUCGAACGGAGUCCAGCCUUUAAGACCUUCGGGUCAAAGAGGGGAAGACUGAGUGGCGGACGGGUGAGUAACACGUGGGCAACCUGGCUCAUAGAGGGGGAUAACAGAGAGAAAUUUCUGCUAAUACCGCAUAAGCACACACUGCCGCAUGGCAGAGGGUGAAAAGAGAAUCGCUAUGAGAUGGACCCGCGUCUGAUUAGCCAGUUGGCAGGGUAAGAGCCUACCAAAGCGACGAUCAGUAGCCGAUCUGAGAGGAUGAACGGCCACAUUGGGACUGAGACACGGCCCAAACUCCUACGGGAGGCAGCAGUGGGAGAUAUUGCACAAUGGGGGGAACCCUGAUGCAGCGACGCCGCGUGAGUGAAGAAGUAUUUCGGUAUGUAAAGCUCUAUCAGCAGGGAAGAUAAUGACAGUACCUGAAUAAGAAGCCCCGGCUAACUACGUG
Molecule: ribosomal RNA, 478 nt
Filed under: uncultured bacterium
Lineage: Bacteria
Description: partial 16S ribosomal RNA
Rfam family: Bacterial small subunit ribosomal RNA
Source: RNAcentral